GGCCAGACUCCUACGGGAGGCAGCAGUGGGGAAUAUUGCACAAUGGGGGAAACCCUGAUGCAGCGACGCCGCGUGAGUGAAGAAGUAUUUCGGUAUGUAAAGCUCUAUCAGCAGGGAAGAAAUAGCGACCUUUGGGUCGCCAGACGGUACCUGAUUAAGAAGCCCCGGCUAACUACGUGCCAGCAGCCGCGGUAAUACGUAGGGGGCAAGCGUUAUCCGGAAUUACUGGGUGUAAAGGGAGCGUAGACGGGAGUGGAAGUCUGAAGAGAAGGGCGGGGGCUCAACCCCUGGACUGCAUUGGAAACUGUAAAUCUUGAGUGCCGGAGAGGGAAGCGGAAUUCCUAGUGUAGCGGUGAAAUGCGUAGAUAUUAGGAGGAACACCAGUGGCGAAGGCGGCUUACUGGACGGUAACUGACGUUGAGGCGCGAAAGCGUGGGGAGCAAACAGGAUUAGAUACCC
This 459-nucleotide ribosomal RNA is filed under the name uncultured bacterium. RNAcentral's name for it is "bacterial SSU rRNA". It matches the Rfam family "Bacterial small subunit ribosomal RNA", at positions 329 to 787 of the family's 1533-position model. The record is from RNAcentral.